Molecule: long non-coding RNA, 2173 nt
Organism: Topomyia yanbarensis
Lineage: Eukaryota; Metazoa; Arthropoda; Insecta; Diptera; Culicidae
Exons: 3
Source: RefSeq, a predicted model, not a curated record
UGCUCAUUAAUAUAUUUGUAUUAUCACACGAGUUGGUGUAAUAUUAUAUACAAAAAUACGCACAUCACUCUUUCCAACAAUUUUAUUGUUAUAUCACACGCCUUGACGCUAUAUUAUUAUCUCUGCACGAUAUUACACUUUUACCAAGACUUUUACACAAUGAUGAUGGUCUUCGGUUUUGCGUGUCUCAGUCGCUGUUCUUUAUUGCGAUAUUUCACCAUGUUGUCAUAUUUAUUUUCGCAAGAGGUCAGCUCAGAUUUCUUGUCCGUCUUUUACUACAAUUUCGCGAAAAUGUUUACAUAAAAUUUGCUAAUUUCUCAGCUAAUAAAUAUUUUACUUAAUAGUGUGUGAGUUACAGUACUGAAGUAGAAUCGGACAUAAACAGUAGCACAAAGUAUUCUCCAUCAGUAAGCAGACCUAGUUUUCAAGCACGUUUCAAUUUUUGUCAACUGAUCCCAGAUACUGAUCCAAUCGUCAGGAAUAAAUUUUCCACUAUUCGUCCCCCCACCAUGAAGCAGGUAUUUAUGGCCCCGUGUACGCUAUUCGCUAACAAAAUGCACAUGCAAUCAAUAUCGAUACCUGGUUCGUAUCGGAUGCCUUGUUGAUCAACCCCCGGUCGUACUAUCUGGAUAUCUUUAACUGGAAAAUACUCCGGAUAUCUUUGGCACAGACACCGAUGGUGCCGUGGUUUAGAAAGUAUAAUAAAAUCGAUGUGCAGGAUGCAAAACAUGAAAAAGCAUGCGAAGCAACUGAUCCGCAAUACUCUGAUUCUUGCUUCGUAUCUUAGUGAGUUGAAGUCUAAAGGGAGCAUCAACAAUGUGGACGAUAUUCAGUUCCUGUACACUAUGUACUAUGUAGUUGACGUUGUGAAUGAACGGAGAAAACUUGCUGGCCGUAUAGCAGUUUGACCGGACAUCUGCACGAUGGUUGAUCUGUCGCCGAAUAUUGAACUAAGUACAUUCAGUCAUUUGAAGGGUGAGCAGUUUACAGUUAGAUUGCUUACAAGCGAGUAUUAGUUUAUUGAUUUACCUCAAUCAGAGCGUUCUGCUUUAAGCGAAUAGCCUUAACAGUAUUGUGAGGAACCUCUCCCAACAUAAGCAUUGAUUUCAGCACCACAAAUACGCUUGAAAAUGGUGGUGAUUAGGUAUUCUCCAGCUGGCCGUAAAUGUGCGCCUACCCUCUGCGAAAAUUAUUUCUAGCCAUACACGUGCAUGCUGGAGAAUUUCUGUACAGGGGGUCCUUUUUUGAGCAUGGACCAAUUGUAGUGCCAUCUCGUUAUUCAGAUCCGUUUUUCAAUAGAAUCUUCUAUUGCACUAAUUCUUUCUUGAAUGUAUUUUUUAUUAUUAGUUUUUUAAUUAAUCGACCAUUAAUUAUUUUCUAAAAUGUAUUCCUAGUUACCAGAUUUUAUGAAUAAUCUCUUAGGCCGAUUUCAACAGCUUCAACAGGGUGUUGCACUAGUGGCAGAUCCCUUGUGAUGCAUUUUUUAAAAUCAGCUAAAUUAAGGUUCAAGUAACCUUUUUGAGCAUGUGUUAGAUUUGAACGCUGGGUAGUAUGGGUAGGAAAAAAUGUGUUCAGCUUUGCCACCGGAUUAUCCGUUUAAACCUUUUCAAAACUCUAUACUCUAAAAGAAGAAUAUCAGCUGAUUUAUUAGGUCACAACGAUUCAAAUCAUACAAAAUAGCUGCUGGAAAAACUAUCGGUUACGCUAAAUGGUGCUUUUGAAAAAGUGGCUGUGAUUUUUUGUCGCUACCACUCCUGAACAUGCCCUAAAGUAAUUGCCAAAGGGGCCGUUCAUAAAUUAUGUCGCGUAUUUACAGUUAAGGAAGAGCGUGACGUAACAUGAAUUAUCGAGAUAUAAAAUAAAAAUUUUGACGGACAUGUGAUUGGGGUUCGGAAGUCGAAUGUCGGAGUUCACUUGGGGGGUGCCUUUGUUAUCCAGGCAUGGUUCUGUGGUUAUUCCGUGUAGUGCGUAAGUUUUGCUGAAUUGACAGUGGACCACAUAAUUGAUGUCCAAGUGCCCGACCUGAUUAUAUUGGGAUAUGCUAGUAUGGCCGUAGUGCCCUAGCGGAUAUAUGCUCAAAUAUUUUAAACUUAUUUGUUCGAAGGAUGUCUGUUCUCUGUGACUUAGCUAUAUUUUAAAAUUUUAUUAUCGAACAAAAUGAUGAUUAAUACAU